RNAcentral lists this transfer RNA (69 nucleotides) under Peromyscus crinitus. RNAcentral's name for it is "tRNA-His". It matches the Rfam family "tRNA". From Rfam's summary of the family: Transfer RNA (tRNA) molecules are approximately 80 nucleotides in length. The record is from RNAcentral. Lineage: Eukaryota; Metazoa; Chordata; Mammalia; Rodentia; Cricetidae.
GUAGAUAUAGUUUAUUCUAAAACACCAGACUGUGAAUCUGGGGAUAGGAAAUUAAAUUCUUUGUCUACC